AGCGAACGCUGGCGGCAGGCCUAACACAUGCAAGUCGAGCGCCCGUAGCAAUACGGGAGCGGCAGACGGGAUAGUAACACGUGGGAACGUACCCUUCAGUUCGGAACAACCCAGGGAAACUUGGGCUAAUACCGAAUACGUCCGUAAGGAGAAAGAUUUAUCGCUGAAGGAUCGGCCCGCGUCUGAUUAGCUAGUUGGUGGGGUAAUGGCCCACCAAGGCGACGAUCAGUAGCUGGUCUGAGAGGAUGAUCAGCAUCACUGGGACUGAGACACGGCCCAGACUCCUACGGGAGGCAGCAGUGGGGAAUAUUGGACAAUGGGCGCAAGCCUGAUCCAGCCAUGCCGCGUGGAUGAUGAAGGCCCUAGGGUUGUAAAGUCCUUUCGGCGGGGAAGAUAAUGACGGUACCCGCAGAAGAAGCCCCGGCUAACUUCGUGCCAGCAGCCGCCGU
This 449-nucleotide ribosomal RNA is filed under the name uncultured bacterium. RNAcentral describes it as "bacterial SSU rRNA". It matches the Rfam family "Bacterial small subunit ribosomal RNA", at positions 29 to 521 of the family's 1533-position model. The record is from RNAcentral.